UGGGGAAUAUUGCACAAUGGGCGCAAGCCUGAUGCAGCCAUGCCGCGUGUGUGAAGAAGGCCUUCGGGUUGUAAAGCGCUUUCAGCGAGGAGGAAGGUGGUGGACUUAAUACGUUCAUCAAUUGACGUUACUCGCAGAAGAAGCACCGGCUAACUCCGUGCCAGCAGCCGCGGUAAUACGGAGGGUGCAAGCGUUAAUCGGAAUUACUGGGCGUAAAGCGCACGCAGGCGGUUUGUUAAGUCAGAUGUGAAAUCCCCGGGCUCAACCUGGGAACUGCAUUUGAAACUGGCAAGCUAGAGUCUCGUAGAGGGGGGUAGAAUUCCAGGUGUAGCGGUGAAAUGCGUAGAGAUCUGGAGGAAUACCGGUGGCGAAGGCGGCCCCCUGGANGAAGACUGACGCUCAGGUGCGAAAGCGUGGGGAGCAAACAGAUUAGNUACCCUGGUAGUCCACGCUGUAAACGAUGUCGAUUUUGGAGGUUGUGCCCCUGAGGCGNGGNUUCCGGAGCUAACGNGUUAAAUGACGCC
RNAcentral lists this ribosomal RNA (524 nucleotides) under uncultured bacterium. RNAcentral's name for it is "partial 16S ribosomal RNA". It matches the Rfam family "Bacterial small subunit ribosomal RNA", at positions 355 to 873 of the family's 1533-position model. The record is from RNAcentral.